Molecule: ribosomal RNA, 562 nt
Filed under: Malassezia furfur
Lineage: Eukaryota; Fungi; Basidiomycota; Malasseziomycetes; Malasseziales; Malasseziaceae
Description: LSU rRNA
Rfam family: Eukaryotic large subunit ribosomal RNA
Source: RNAcentral
UAACGGCGAGUGAAGAGGGAAGAGCUCAAAUUUGAAAGCUGGUACCUUCGGUAUCCGCGUUGUAACCUCGAGACACGUUUUCCGUGCGGCGCUAUGGACAAGUUCCUUGGAACAGGACAUCGUAGAGGGUGAAAAUCCCGUACUUGCCAUGGAUGUACCGUGCUUUGCGAUACGUGCUCUAAGAGUCGAGUUGUUUGGGAUUGCAGCUCAAAAUGGGUGGUAGACUCCAUCUAAAGCUAAAUAUCGGGGAGAGACCGAUAGCGAACAAGUACCGUGAGGGAAAGAUGAAAAGCACUUUGGAAAGAGAGUUAAAAGUACGUGAAAUUGUCGAAAGGGAAGCGCUUGAAGUCAGCCAUGCCGCUCAGGACUCAGCCUGGCUUUUGCUUGGUGUAUUUCCUGGGUAGCAAGUCAGCAUUGGUUUGGAUCGUCGGAGAAGCAUAGUCGGAAUGUGGCGCCCUCGGGCGUGUUAUAGCCUUCUAUUGGAUACGACGAUCUAGACCAAGGAACGCAGCGCGCCUUAUGGCGGGUCUUCGGACCACCUUCGCGCUUAGGAUGCUGGCGU